AUGAUGACUCCACCUAGUGAGAAAGCUAUUUGGGAGGCUUUUAAGAGGAAGGAUGAUGUGAACUAUGAAGAAGCAAUUGAGAUACAAUCUAAUGGGAAUGAGGUAGUGCCAACAGAAAACCCUGAAAGGGAAGUGACUAGAUUUCUAUUUGUGGAAAUGAAUGAGGAACUGGGGAAAACUGGAGAGGAAAUUAGUACGAUAGAGACAAAAUUCCAUGCAACUAGUGAUGGGACGGAACACAAUGUGGAAGAUGGUGAAGAUGAGGUUUAUCUUCCUGAUGACAUUAUGCCCACUUAUGAGGAGGAGGGGGUUAUGUUUGAUCAUAGGGACAGGAAUACCUCCAAGAAGCAGAAGAUAUGGGGCCCAGUUCAACCUGCAAGGAAGAGCACUAGGGUGAAAGGAAAACUGCCCAUUAUGGAGAAAGCUGAAUUGCUCAAGAUGAAGAAGGAUUUGGAAUUACCAAAAACAUCUGUGAAAGGUCUGGCAGAAAAUAAGUCACUACUUAGGAGAUUGGAUGAAGCCUCACAAUUAACUACGGGAGGGAUAGACAAAACAAUUCAGGGAUCAUCUGCUGGUGAGAUUGAGAUCGCCGCUAGAACUGGAACCGUACUGAGAUGUCAAGAAACUUUGGAGCGGCUUUCCUAG
Molecule: ribosomal RNA, 645 nt
Filed under: Triticum aestivum (bread wheat)
Lineage: Eukaryota; Viridiplantae; Streptophyta; Magnoliopsida; Poales; Poaceae
Description: partial small subunit ribosomal RNA
Source: RNAcentral